UUGCGCGGGAGGGUUCAUGCAAAGCGACACAGGAGCCAUUAAAUGGCUAGGGUUUCCUGUCGAGAAACAACCUGGGAGUCGAAGGCUUCCUUCGUUGGAUAGGGUUCCACUUUGCUGGUGAAUUUGGAGGCGAUUCAGAGAUUGGUGGAUGGGUUUUUCGUAGAUUAGAUUAUCAAAUUGAUUGGUGUGAUUUGUUUCCCAAUCUAUUUUCUCAUUCACUCCCGUGAUGUGUCUCAGUCAUUCAUUUCUCCAAUCUAUUUUCCCAUUCAUCUCACUGGUUGGGAUGUGACUUUUAAAAUAUGAUGAGCAGAUGCAAUCCAUAGGUAUGAUAUAUUUUAUUGCAGUAUUUCCAUUCGAUUACUGGUUGCUUGAUAGAAUUGUUUGCCCAAUGUCCAUAUGGAAUCAUUAAAGUGCGCUAGUUUGUUUGCUUGGUUAAUUCAUUAACACAAUCUAUUUCUCAUGCAUUGGAUCUCUUACACUACCCAAUAAUUCAUCAUUGAUUACCUCGUUAUCCAAUAACUCAUCAUUGGUUGCAUCGUUAUGUGGCUGGGUCAACAACAUACUUCAUAAGCAUGGAAGCUGCACAACAAGUGGGGUUAUACUUCAAUGACAGCACUGGUGUCAGUGUCAUUGUUGUCAAUGGUGACCGGGUGGCCUACCGGGGUUUAGCUCGCAAUGUUGCCACGCGCAUUGGCGACGAGUUCUUUGAAAUUGAUUGCUAUGCAAUUCCCCUCGACUGCUAUGACAUGGUCCUUGGCACCUCAUUUCUCAGGACGUUGGGUCCAAUUUUAUGGGACUUCGAUGAUCUUUGCAUGGCAUUCACACA
Long non-coding RNA from Panicum virgatum (switchgrass), 826 nucleotides. RefSeq lists it as uncharacterized. Lineage: Eukaryota; Viridiplantae; Streptophyta; Magnoliopsida; Poales; Poaceae. The transcript has 3 exons. The record is from RefSeq and is a predicted model, not a curated record.